GUGAGGAAUAUUGGUCAAUGGGCGGGAGCCUGAACCAGCCAAGUCGCGUGAAGGAAGAAGGAUCUAUGGUUCGUAAACUUCUUUUGCAGGGGAAUAAAGUGCAGGACGUGUCCUGUUUUGUAUGUACCCUGAGAAUAAGGAUCGGCUAACUCCGUGCCAGCAGCCGCGGUAAUACGGAGGAUCCGAGCGUUAUCCGGAUUUAUUGGGUUUAAAGGGUGCGUAGGUGGUUUGAUAAGUCAGCGGUGAAAGUUUGCAGCUUAACUGUAAAAAUGCCGUUGAAACUGUCGGACUUGAGUGUAAAUGAGGUAGGCGGAAUGCGUGGUGUAGCGGUGAAAUGCAUAGAUAUCACGCAGAACUCCGAUUGCGAAGGCAGCUUACUAAGCUACAACUGACACUGAAGCACGAAAGCGUGGGGAUCAAACAGGAUUAGAUACCCUGUAGUCC
RNAcentral lists this ribosomal RNA (444 nucleotides) under uncultured bacterium. RNAcentral describes it as "partial 16S ribosomal RNA". It matches the Rfam family "Bacterial small subunit ribosomal RNA", at positions 354 to 796 of the family's 1533-position model. The record is from RNAcentral.